This 497-nucleotide ribosomal RNA is filed under the name uncultured bacterium. RNAcentral describes it as "partial 16S ribosomal RNA". It matches the Rfam family "Bacterial small subunit ribosomal RNA", at positions 28 to 507 of the family's 1533-position model. The record is from RNAcentral.
GAUGAACGCCGGCGGCGUGCCUAAUACAUGCAAGUCGAGCGAACGGACGAGAAGCUUGCUUCUCUGAUGUUAGCGGCGGACGGGUGAGUAACACGUGGAUAACCUACCUAUAAGACUGGGAUAACUUCGGGAAACCGGAGCUAAUACCGGAUAAUAUUUUGAACCGCAUGGUUCAAAAGUGAAAGACGGUCUUGCUGUCACUUAUAGAUGGAUCCGCGCUGCAUUAGCUAGUUGGUAAGGUAACGGCUUACCAAGGCAACGAUGCAUAGCCGACCUGAGAGGGUGAUCGGCCACACUGGAGCUGAGACACGGUCCAGACUCCUACGGGAGGCAGCAGUAGGGAAUCUUCCGCAAUGGGCGAAAGCCUGACGGAGCAACGCCGCGUGAGUGAUGAAGGUCUUCGGAUCGUAAAACUCUGUUAUUAGGGAAGAACAUAUGUGUAAGUAACUGUGCACAUCUUGACGGUACCUAAUCAGAAAGCCACGGCUAACUACGUG